RNAcentral lists this ribosomal RNA (254 nucleotides) under uncultured bacterium. Its description in RNAcentral is "partial 16S ribosomal RNA". It matches the Rfam family "Bacterial small subunit ribosomal RNA", at positions 524 to 776 of the family's 1533-position model. The record is from RNAcentral.
GACGUAGGGGGCGAGCGUUGUCCGGAUUUAUUGGGCGUAAAGAGCUCGUAGGCGGCUCAGCAAGUCAGGUGUGAAACCUCCAGGCUUAACCUGGAGACGCCACCUGAUACUGCUGUGGCUGGAGUCCGGUAGGGGAGCAGGGAAUAUCCGGUGUAGCGGUGAAAUGCUUAGAUAUCGGGUGGAACACCAGUGGCGAAAGCGCUCUGCUAGGCCGCAACUGACACUGAGGGACGAAAGCUAGGGGAGCGAAUGGG